This 462-nucleotide ribosomal RNA is filed under the name uncultured bacterium. RNAcentral describes it as "partial 16S ribosomal RNA". It matches the Rfam family "Bacterial small subunit ribosomal RNA", at positions 28 to 507 of the family's 1533-position model. The record is from RNAcentral.
GACGAACGCUGGCGGCAUGCUUAACACAUGCAAGUCGAGCGGAAAGGCCUUUUCGGCGGUACUCUUGUGGGGAACGGGUGAGUAACACGUUGGGGAUCUGCCCUGCACUCUGGGAUUAGCCUGGGAAACUGGGUCUAAUACCGGAUAGGACCGCACUUGAGAUUGUGUGGUGGAAUGUUUUUUCGGUGUAGGAUUAGCCCGCGGCCUAUCAGCUUGUUGGUGGUGUAAUGGCCUACCAAGGCGGCGACGGGUAUCCGGACUGUGAGGUUGGUCGGCCCCAUUGCGACUGAGAUACGGGACAGAGUACUACGGGAGACAGCAGUGGGGAAUAUUGCCCAAUGGGGGCAAGCCUGAUGCAGCGACGCCGCGUGGGGGAUGACGGCCUUCGGGUUGUAAACUACUGUCGCCAGGGACGAAGCGUUUUGUGACGGAACCUGGAGAUGAAGACCGGCUAAAUUAGUG